UACGUAGGGUGCGAGCGUUGUCCGGAAUUAUUGGGCGUAAAGGGCUCGUAGGCGGUUUGUCACGUCGGGAGUGAAAACUCAGGGCUCAACCCUGAGCCUGCUUCCGAUACGGGCAGACUAGAGGUAUGCAGGGGAGAAUGGAAUUCCUGGUGUAGCGGUGAAAUGCGCAGAUAUCAGGCGGAACACCGGUGGCGAAGGCGGUUCUCUGGGCACUACCUGACGCUGAGGAGCGAAAGUGUGGGGCGCGAACAGG
RNAcentral lists this ribosomal RNA (253 nucleotides) under uncultured bacterium. Its description in RNAcentral is "partial 16S ribosomal RNA". It matches the Rfam family "Bacterial small subunit ribosomal RNA", at positions 524 to 776 of the family's 1533-position model. The record is from RNAcentral.